This 253-nucleotide ribosomal RNA is filed under the name uncultured bacterium. RNAcentral describes it as "partial 16S ribosomal RNA". It matches the Rfam family "Bacterial small subunit ribosomal RNA", at positions 524 to 776 of the family's 1533-position model. The record is from RNAcentral.
UACGAAGGGGGCUAGCGUUGCUCGGAAUUACUGGGCGUAAAGCGCACGUAGGCGGAUUUGUUAGUCAGGGGUGAAAUCCCGGGGCUCAACCUCGGAACUGCCUUUGAUACUGCAAGUCUCGAGUCCGAUAGAGGUGGGUGGAAUUCCUAGUGUAGAGGUGAAAUUCGUAGAUAUUAGGAAGAACACCGGUGGCGAAGGCGGCGUUCUGGACUGUUUCUGACACUGAAUAACGAAAGCCAGGGGAGCAAACGGG